This is a long non-coding RNA of Rhagoletis pomonella (apple maggot), 780 nucleotides long. RefSeq lists it as uncharacterized. The record is from RefSeq and is a predicted model, not a curated record. The transcript is spliced from 3 exons. Lineage: Eukaryota; Metazoa; Arthropoda; Insecta; Diptera; Tephritidae.
CUGUAUCGCAUCGCGGUGAGUUUCUAUUUCUUGGUAAUUCGGUUUGUGAAAUGACUAUUAAUUACAAGCACAGCAUCAUCAACGGUGAUUGCAAGAACUACUGCAAUCCAUGCGGUUUUUCCUCUUGGUAAAUGCGUUCUGGUCGUGACCAAGGGUGGUCUCCCAAAUCGGCCGGGAAUAAGGCUAUUGUUGCAGAACAAAACGCCGCAACCACUGCUGUGGUAAAUAUAUUCCAGCAGAGCUGCCCACCGCCGUCGGUGUAAUGAUUUCGAUAGCUGAACAAACGCCAUCUCCUGGGCAUUCCCACAGCUUGCCGACACUAGCUAUUAUAUCACGUGUGAAUGCAACUGCGGCUUAAUUUGGUUAUUAACAGUGCAAUAGUGCCAUGUCAUUGGCAAAAACACUAAGGGCUGCUGGCAAAUAUAGGUUGUAAAGUUUUUGGUAUCGAUGAACUUACUCGAAGAAGACGAUGGCCGAAAACAUAUGAUGAAACAACUUCUGGCAUGCCUUUGACAAUCAUUAAGUCAGACGGAGGCUUCACAUACGAUAUUUCACACAUGGCUGGAAUUCUUAACGGACAGAGCACACAUUUAAAAAAUAUAUUCAUAAUAAAAAACAUUUUCAUUUCAGUGGCGCUGUCCAUCGGCAACCCAACUGAGGUUCCGCUCCCAUCCAUAAUCGAUCCAUAAGUCAUAAUCGCACGAACUAAUCAAGGCUUCAUAGAAUCCAUCGUAGUCCGAUUUUUCGUGAAAUCUACGAAAAUGCUAUUAAGGUCGAAUA